RNAcentral lists this ribosomal RNA (465 nucleotides) under uncultured Klebsiella sp. RNAcentral describes it as "bacterial SSU rRNA". It matches the Rfam family "Bacterial small subunit ribosomal RNA", at positions 338 to 795 of the family's 1533-position model. Lineage: Bacteria; Pseudomonadati; Pseudomonadota; Gammaproteobacteria; Enterobacterales; Enterobacteriaceae. The record is from RNAcentral.
CCUACGGGUGGCUGCAGUGGGGAAUAUUGCACAAUGGGCGCAAGCCUGAUGCAGCCAUGCCGCGUGUGUGAAGAAGGCCUUCGGGUUGUAAAGCACUUUCAGCGGGGAGGAAGGCGGUGAGGUUAAUAACCUCAUCGAUUGACGUUACCCGCAGAAGAAGCACCGGCUAACUCCGUGCCAGCAGCCGCGGUAAUACGGAGGGUGCAAGCGUUAAUCGGAAUUACUGGGCGUAAAGCGCACGCAGGCGGUCUGUCAAGUCGGAUGUGAAAUCCCCGGGCUCAACCUGGGAACUGCACUCGAAACUGGCAGGCUAGAGUCUUGUAGAGGGGGGUAGAAUUCCAGGUGUAGCGGUGAAAUGCGUAGAGAUCUGGAGGAAUACCGGUGGCGAAGGCGGCCCCCUGGACAAAGACUGACGCUCAGGUGCGAAAGCGUGGGGAGCAAACAGGAUUAGAUACCCUUGUAGUC